AACGAACGCUGGCGGCAUGCCUAACACAUGCAAGUCGAACGAACCCUUCGGGGUUAGUGGCGCACGGGUGCGUAACGCGUGGGAACCUACCAUCAGGUUCGGAAUAACAGUUAGAAAUGACUGCUAAUACCGGAUAAUGUCUUCGGACCAAAGAUUUAUCGCCUUUUGAUGGGCCCGCGUAAGAUUAGGUAGUUGGUGGGGUAAAAGCCUACCAAGCCGACGAUCUUUAGCUGGUCUGAGAGGAUGAUCAGCCACACUGGGACUGAGACACGGCCCAGACUCCUACGGGAGGCAGCAGUGGGGAAUAUUGGACAAUGGGCGAAAGCCUGAUCCAGCAAUGCCGCGUGGACGAUGAAGGCCUUAGGGUUGUAAAGUCCUUUCGCUGGGGAAGAUAAUGACUGUACCCAGUAAAGAAGCCCCGGCUAACUCCGUG
RNAcentral lists this ribosomal RNA (433 nucleotides) under uncultured bacterium. RNAcentral describes it as "bacterial SSU rRNA". It matches the Rfam family "Bacterial small subunit ribosomal RNA", at positions 29 to 507 of the family's 1533-position model. The record is from RNAcentral.